This 508-nucleotide ribosomal RNA is filed under the name uncultured bacterium. RNAcentral's name for it is "partial 16S ribosomal RNA". It matches the Rfam family "Bacterial small subunit ribosomal RNA", at positions 28 to 507 of the family's 1533-position model. The record is from RNAcentral.
GACGAACGCUGGCGGCGUGCCUAAUACAUGCAAGUCGAGCGCUUCUUUCCUCCCGAGUGCUUGCACUCAAUUGGAAAGAGGAGUGGCGGACGGGUGAGUAACACGUGGGUAACCUACCCUUCAGAGGGGGAUAACACUUGGAAACAGGUGCUAAUACCGCAUAACAGUUUAUGCCGCAUGGCAUAAGAGUGAAAGGCGCUUUCGGGUGUCGCUGAUGGAUGGACCCGCGGUGCAUUAGCUAGUUGGUGAGGUAACGGCUCACCAAGGCCACGAUGCAUAGCCGACCUGAGAGGGUGAUCGGCCACACUGGGACGGAGACACGGCCCAGACUCCUACGGGAGGGAGCAGUAGGGAAUCUUCGGCAAUGGACGAAAGUCUGACCGAGCAACGCCGCGUGAGUGAAGAAGGUGUUCGGAUCGUAAAACUCUGUUGUUAGAGAAGAACAAGGACGUUAGUAACUGAACGUCCCCUGACGGUAUCUAACCAGAAAGCCACGGCUAACUACGUG